Molecule: non-coding RNA, 250 nt
Organism: Paramuricea clavata
Lineage: Eukaryota; Metazoa; Cnidaria; Anthozoa; Malacalcyonacea; Plexauridae
Source: the annotation of a GenBank genome assembly
GUGCUUUGUUCGUUGUGUGGUGCUUUGUUUGUUAUGUGGUGCUUAGUUUGUUGUGUGGUGCUUUGUUCGUUGUGUGGUGCUUUGUUCGUUGUGUGGUGCUUUGUUCGUUGUGUGGUGCUUUGUUCGUUGUGUGGUGCUUUGUUUGUUGUGUGGUGCUUUGUUCGUUGUGUGGUGCUUUGUUCGUUGUGUGGUGCUUUGUUCGUUGUGUGGUGCUUUGUUUGUUGUGUGGUGCUUUGUUCGUUGUGUGGUG